CUUGUGUUAGGUAUUGAAAGGGUGAAAAUAAACUUGACCUAAAAGUUGUCAUCCUCAUUCAAAUAGUAUUUUAACUUUCCACAAAUCAAAAAAUAGUUUUGCUUUUGAAUUAUUGAUUGAAAUUCAUAAGAAAAAAAAAACGGUAUCUCAAGCAUAGACAGACA
Molecule: long non-coding RNA, 164 nt
Organism: Octopus sinensis (East Asian common octopus)
Lineage: Eukaryota; Metazoa; Mollusca; Cephalopoda; Octopoda; Octopodidae
Exons: 3
Source: RefSeq, a predicted model, not a curated record